CCGCGUAUCCUAACGGGCUUUGCGGUGGUCAUUUUUUUAAUUUUUAUUCGUAGGAGUUUAUAGUGGCCCGUAUUGCAGGUAUUAACGUUCCUGAU
This 95-nucleotide small RNA is filed under the name human gut metagenome. RNAcentral's name for it is "Alpha operon ribosome binding site". It matches the Rfam family "Alpha operon ribosome binding site", at positions 16 to 110 of the family's 110-position model. From Rfam's summary of the family: The bacterial alpha operon ribosome binding site is surrounded by this complex pseudoknotted structure. Translation of the mRNA produces 4 ribosomal protein products, one of which (S4) acts as a translational repressor by binding to the nested pseudoknot region. RNAcentral also lists the same sequence under 1 other name. The record is from RNAcentral.